Molecule: unclassified non-coding RNA, 401 nt
Filed under: soil metagenome
Description: partial contains 5.8S ribosomal RNA, internal transcribed spacer 2, and large subunit ribosomal RNA
Rfam family: 5.8S ribosomal RNA (bases 1-121)
Source: RNAcentral
GAUGAAGAACGUAGCGAAAUGCGAUAACUAAUGUGAAUUGCAGAAUUCAGUGAAUCAUCGAAUCUUUGAACGCACCUUGCGCCCCUUGGUUAUUCCAAAGGGCAUGCCUGUUUGAGUAUCAUGAACACCUCAACUCUUGUGGUUUCCCACAAUGAGCUUGGACUGUGGAGGUUUUGUUGGCCCUGUGGUCAGCUCCUCUCAAAUGGAUCAGCUUACCGGUGUUUGGUGGCAUUACGGGUGUGAUAACUAUCUACGCUCGUGGUCGUCUCCAAAUAACCUCCAGUGAUGGAGGUUCGCUGGAGCUUAUAAAUGUCUCUCCCCAGUGAAGACAGCCUUUGAACGUUCGAUCUCAAAUCAGGUAGGACUACCCGCUGAACUUAAGCAUAUCAAUAAGCGGAGGA